AUCGUGCAUUCUGCCUUCCUUCGUGAAUAGACAUGUGCAACGGAUUGUAAAAAAAUAUGUGGGAACUGGUCAAGCCAGUCAUCGCUCAUUUUUAUGAACUAAUUUGGGAAAUUGAUCUCAGCUUCAAGAAAUAGGGAGGUUUAGGAAGCUUGCUACUUCAUACUGGACCAGAUGCCUAAAAUAUGUGUAGGAUUGCAGCCUGACUGCCUGACAGAGCAUUUCCUGCAUAAUUUAAGAUGUGAGAGAAGGGGAAAAGAAAAACUCAACAACCACGCAGAUAGAUAAAGGCGAUCCCAGAGCUGUUCAAGGAACUAUAAAGGAGAAGAACUACCAUUAUAUUUGCUACUUUGUGGAUACAAAGGGUCAAGUAUGAAAUCAAAAUAUAGGUAACAUUUCAUA
Long non-coding RNA from Sceloporus undulatus (fence lizard), 399 nucleotides. RefSeq lists it as uncharacterized. The record is from RefSeq and is a predicted model, not a curated record. The transcript is spliced from 3 exons. NCBI's taxonomy places the organism in Eukaryota, Metazoa, Chordata, Lepidosauria, Squamata, Phrynosomatidae.